Molecule: non-coding RNA, 376 nt
Organism: Paramuricea clavata
Lineage: Eukaryota; Metazoa; Cnidaria; Anthozoa; Malacalcyonacea; Plexauridae
Source: the annotation of a GenBank genome assembly
CACGAGUUGUGCAAUGUCUAGUGUGUUUGCAAACGUAACUCUUUAAUAAUCUAAGUUAUUGGCUAUGCUUUUCCUUUAGAUUUGAAUACAAACGAGCUGUGUUAACAACAAGCAGUGCUAAACGACUUAACGUCUUGACUAUUAAACAAGAUAACACGAGGUCGAAUUUAUAUACUCACAUUAUUCUUAUACGAAAAUUAACAAACAACAGAUUACCAUACGCUAACUUUGCCAAAGGAAAAGGUGGACGGCAAGCUAACCUGCAUUCCUACAUCGAUCUUCGCUGUACGAAUAAUUCGAACAAAUUAAGAUAUAUAAAUUCAUCAAUAAUAUGGCUGCAAAAUGCUUGCAUCUCGGCUUUCUUGGUAUGAUCUGU